This is a long non-coding RNA of Exaiptasia diaphana, 532 nucleotides long. RefSeq lists it as uncharacterized. The transcript is spliced from 2 exons. NCBI's taxonomy places the organism in Eukaryota, Metazoa, Cnidaria, Anthozoa, Actiniaria, Aiptasiidae. The record is from RefSeq and is a predicted model, not a curated record.
AGAUCUUUACCUGAAGGAGUUGAAUUUAAGAUCCCCGGUUUGACUAAAACUAGAGCCCCAGGGAAAGAUGUUACCUUUUUCUUCCCUGCCUUUAGAGAUAAGGCUAAGCUGUGUCCAGUGUCGUGUUUAGAAGAGUAUAUUAAACGGACACAACGUCACCGGUUGCACAAUGCUAAUGAUCAACUGUUUUUGUCAGUACAAAAACCUUUUACUGCUAUUUCUACAGCAUCUAUUGGGAGAUGGUUGAAGGACGUCCUAAAGGAGGCAGGAGUAGAUACGUGUGUCUUCAAGGCACAUUCCACAAGGAGUGCGUCUACGUCUUCAGCGAGAAGAAGUGGAGUUUCGGUUCAGGACAUUUUGAAUGCUGCAGAUUGGUCUAGAGAGACAACAUUCAAUCGCUUCUAUUAUCGCCAGACUUAUUCAAGCUCUUUUGGCAGAGCAGUCCUGUCAUAGGUGGUUGACAGAUUGGACAUUUUGACAUUACUGGACGUCACAUUUUUGUUAUUGUUGCAAUAAACAUUUCAUUUCAUCA